AUUCCGUGGAACUUGUCACUCCUGAUGCAAGCGUGGAAACUGGGCCCAGCCUUGGCAACUAGAAACCUGGUGGUGAUGAAGGUGGAGGAGCAGACACCUCUCAUGGCUCUACGUGGCCAACUUAAUCAAGGAGGCAGGCUUCCCCCCUGGUGUGGUCAAUAUCGUUCCUGGAUUUGGCCCUACUGCUGGGGCUGCCAUCAUAUCCCAUGAGGAUGUGGACAAAGUGGCUGGCCUUCACAGGCUCCACUGAGGUUGGUCACCUAAUCCAGGUUGCCACCGGGAGCAGCAACCUCAAGAGAAUAACCCUGGAGCUCGGGGGGAAAGAGCCCCAACAUCAUCAUGUCUGAAGCUGACAUGGACUGGUCUUUGGAGCAGGCCCACUUUGCCCUGUUCUUCAACUAGGGCCAGUGCUGUUUUCGAAGGCUCCCAGACCUUCGUGCAGGAGGAUGUGUAUGACGAAUUCGUGGAACGCAGUGUGGUCUGGGCCAAAUCUCGGGUGGUAGGGAACCCCUUCCACAGCCGGACAGAGCAGGGGCCACGGGUGGAUAAGACUCAGUUUAAGAAAAUCCUCAGCUAUAUCAAAUCGGGACAAGAAGAAGGGGCGAAGCUGCUAUGUGGUUGGGGCGCCACCGAGGACCGUGGCUACUUCAUCCAGCCCACUGUGUUCGGAGACGUAAAAGAUGGCAUGACCAUUGCCAAGGAGGAGAUCUUCGGACCAGUGAUGCAGAUCCUCAAAUUCAAGACUAUAGAGGAGGUUGGGGGGGGGCAAACCAAUGAUUCUAAGUAUGGGCUGGCAGCAGCUGUCUUCACAAAGAACCUGGAUAAGGCCAGUUACCAUAUAUAUGUGCUUUUUCAUGUUUAA
Molecule: RNA transcript, 862 nt
Organism: Mastomys coucha (southern multimammate mouse)
Lineage: Eukaryota; Metazoa; Chordata; Mammalia; Rodentia; Muridae
Gene name: aldehyde dehydrogenase, mitochondrial-like
Exons: 1
Source: RefSeq, a predicted model, not a curated record